AAGAAAAAAUGAAAGCUGCUACCGACCUCUCGCUUUUACAAAGUAUUUUUCAUGUUUUUUUUUGUUGGCUCUUUAACCCAAUAGGAAAGCUGUAUAUGACCUUUUCAUUUUGUAUUGUUAACAUUCAAAUUGAUGGACUUGUUUCCUUGUUUAUGUGAAUUACAGCAUCAUCAGCUGCAGCAUCUGCCUGUUAUGUAAAACUGUGUCCCUAGUCCCAGAGCUGGAUGCUUCAGAUCUGCACUUGCUGUCCCACAAACUGGCCUAGUCUCCAUCAUGUCCACUGUGGGAUGCUGCUGCUUACCUUCCUCCAGCCCACUGCUUCCAGCUGCCCAUUUCCACCAGUCUACUCUGCAUCGCCCUUACUAUACUUGAUAUGCUCAUCUACUUACUGUUUGAAUUUUACUACCAGCUAUAUAUGUAGUAUUUUUAAUGCCAGAGUCGUACACCAUAACAGUAAACUAUGAAUCAGUUUAAAUGGUAGCUUGUACUUUGUAUGUAUCAUUUAUCUUGUCAUGCAUGUAUCCAACUGUGUGUCAUAUGUUCCUUGUUCCCCACGCCCCUCUUCUCCCAUCCCUCCUCCUUUCCACCCUUCUACCCUUCUACCUCUCUACUUCUACCCCUUUACCUCUCUACCUCUUCUGUUCCUCUCAACCCGCCCGGCCAGCAGGCAGAUGGGUACCUCCUCAUAUAGAGCAGGGUUCUGCUCAAGGAUUUUUUUCCCUGUUAAAAGGGUGUUUUCCUUGUCACUGUCACCUUAGGAUUUGCUCCGGGGAUCAGGCAUGUGGGUUCUGUAAAGCGUCUUGAGACAAUUUGACUGUAAUUGGCGCUAUAUAAAUAAAAUUGAAUUGAAUCUUCA
Acanthochromis polyacanthus (spiny chromis) is the source of this 856-nucleotide long non-coding RNA. RefSeq lists it as uncharacterized. NCBI's taxonomy places the organism in Eukaryota, Metazoa, Chordata, Actinopteri, Pomacentridae. The record is from RefSeq and is a predicted model, not a curated record. The transcript has 2 exons.